GACGAACGCUGGCGGCGUGCUUAACACAUGCAAGUCGAACGGAAAGGCCCUGCUUUUGUGGGGUGCUCGAGUGGCGAACGGGUGAGUAACACGUGAGUAACCUGCCCUUGGCUUUGGGAUAACUUCAGGAAACUGGGGCUAAUACCGGAUAGGAGCUCCUGCUGCAUGGUGGGGGUUGGAAAGUUUCGGCGGUUGGGGAUGGACUCGCGGCUUAUCAGCUUGUUGGUGGGGUAGUGGCUUACCAAGGCUUUGACGGGUAGCCGGCCUGAGAGGGUGACCGGCCACAUUGGGACUGAGAUACGGCCCAGACUCCUACGGGAGGCAGCAGUGGGGAAUAUUGCACAAUGGGCGGAAGCCUGAUGCAGCAACGCCGCGUGCGGGAUGACGGCCUUCGGGUUGUAAACCGCUUUCGCCUGUGACGAAGCGUGAGUGACGGUAAUGGGUAAAGAAGCACCGGCUAACUACGCG
Molecule: ribosomal RNA, 468 nt
Filed under: uncultured bacterium
Lineage: Bacteria
Description: partial 16S ribosomal RNA
Rfam family: Bacterial small subunit ribosomal RNA
Source: RNAcentral